RNAcentral lists this long non-coding RNA (1132 nucleotides) under Salmo salar (Atlantic salmon). Its description in RNAcentral is "lncRNA (ENSSSAG00000090924.1)". The record is from RNAcentral. Lineage: Eukaryota; Metazoa; Chordata; Actinopteri; Salmoniformes; Salmonidae.
CAGAGGUACCAGGCUGCAGCACUGUCACAGAGGUGAUGGAACAUUUCAUCAAGCAGCUGAGGGACAACUUCUCCAAAAGAUUUGAAGACUACAGCAUGCCCAAGAAUAUUGCGUUUGUGUCUCCGGAAGGUGGUGAUUGAGUCCGCUGUCCUGGCGUCGUGAGGGAGCUUGUUCCACCAUUGGGGUGCCAGAGCAGCGAACAGUUUUGACUGGGCUGAGCGGGAACUGUGCUUCCUCAGAGGUAGGGAGGCGAGCAGGCCAGAGGUGGAUGAACGCAGUGCCCUUGUUUGGGUGUAGGGCCUGAUCAGAGCCUGAAGGUACCAUUUCAGUCCGCCCAGGUGGGGAAUUCUCCUCCCUUGCUAAGAAAACAUCGAGCCAAAUCAGGGAUGCGCUCAGUUGUGCUGAGUCCUUGUGUGCGUUUUGGGUGGCAUGCUAAGAGGAAUACAGCACAAUAAAGAUACUUGCCUUUUAUGUGCUAACAAUGUUUGGAUCGACUUACACCUGUGAGUCGUCCUUUUCCUCUAUGAACGCAAUCAAGACUCACGACAGGAACCAGCUUUCACAUAAGUCAAUGGAGGACUGCCUGCGCAUCAAAAUCACAUCCAGCUCACCCGACAUCCACAAGAAUGCAACUUUUCCCAUUAAGAGCAGAUUAUCCCGAGACUCCCGACACAAGGAUUCAGACACAGACAUCGCCUUUUUUUCUUUAAAUUAUUGUUUUAUGUAGGUUGCUACCAUUUUGGCCAUGAUGCAAAUGUAAGUAGGCCUAAUAAAUAAAUACAAAUCCCACUUCUAUUAGGCCAUUUUGUUUUCUUGUGGAAGAUGCUGUUCAGGCACAUAGCCUACCUCAAGUCAGUUAUUUUAUAUGGGCCUUCGCUCGGAAGAAAGACUCCAAUUAAGCCCUCUUGUUGUUUGUAAAGUCAAAUUAAAAUGAAGAUUAUUGUUGAAGUUAAUUACUCGACUGGUGUAGUUUUUCUCCAUCUGUUGCUAGGCAACACUUGCAUAACAAGUUAGCAAUAUUUUCAGCACCAGGCGCUGUUCACCUCCUAUUGAUUGCAGCUUUACAUUUCAGCACCUAAAAAAAAAUGGUCCGCUGCCUGCUUUAUUAGUUGACUGUCUCCUGCAUUCUCUC